This 326-nucleotide long non-coding RNA is filed under the name Bos taurus (domestic cattle). RNAcentral's name for it is "long non-coding RNA NONBTAT017162". The record is from RNAcentral. Lineage: Eukaryota; Metazoa; Chordata; Mammalia; Artiodactyla; Bovidae.
AGUAAGUCUAUUAGCCAGAAGCAAUUCCAGAGCUCACAGAAAUUCUUUGAAAGGUCUUGUGUGGCCCCUAACAUUCGAAUUGAACUAAAAUGUGAAUCUCAGUAAAAGCAACACAGUUCAUGGUGUUUGCUGAUAAUGGCCACACAUCUUCUUUUGGUUUCCCCCCAGAGGAUCCUGGGGGCUCUGGGAGUACCCUCAGCUUGGUGCUUUGCUGACUUUAUUUUUUUUUAACUUUGGACCUUUAUAAAAGUCAAAAAUCAAUUUUGAAUAUUUUAAGUUCCUGGUUUUACUCUACAGCCCUAGUUAUGGACAAGCCAACCCUUAUG